RNAcentral lists this long non-coding RNA (1699 nucleotides) under Marmota marmota marmota (Alpine marmot). RNAcentral's name for it is "lncRNA (ENSMMMG00000001887.1)". Lineage: Eukaryota; Metazoa; Chordata; Mammalia; Rodentia; Sciuridae. The record is from RNAcentral.
GUGGGAGUUGAAGGGCAGGCAGAGCUGGCUUGGCCUAAGAACUGGGCCUGGGGAUUAGGGCAUUCAAUUGACAGAAGCCCCUAGCACAGAUGAGCUGGGCAGGGGAGUGGGGGGAGGUGGUGCAGGGACCCACCGAAGGCUGUGUAUGCAUGCAUGUCGCCUUCCCUGGAGAAGAGGUUCAGAGAUUUGCUGUGGUUCUCAAAGACAGCCAUGACCCCGAGAAGACAAGAAAUCCUCAUUUGGGGGACAUCUCUGUAUGCUAGACACUGAAGUUUCUAUGGACCUUGACCUUGAGCACUGCAGCUAGCCAGCCCUGGAUUCAGGCUCAGCCUCAGCUUCCUUUUUGGGAAAAACACACCUGGAUUAGAUACUCUCCAGGCUUUUAAGACUGCCUGACUUAGGUGGUCCUGCUCAUGGAGAUGGUUCACAGAUACACGCUGCAUCCACCCAGCUCCUGGGAUAGGGCUGGCCACCAAAAGCUUCAUAAUGGAACUUCAGUGCCCUUUCAGGCCUUUGGAGUGGCUUUUUUUUUUUUUUUGUAGCAUUUUAAUGUCAAGUCCCUGGCUUUUAUUUAAGGUCAACUGUCUGACUGUAAGUCGCUCAGCUUUCCUGCGUCUCGGGGUUCUAUUUGCUUUCUAGGUUGGGCACACUGAUGCUUCUGAAGGGUCAGGGGUAGGUAUAUAAGCACUGCCCACAGGCUGCGCUGACCCAGGAAAACAGGCAGCCCCCAGCUCUGUAGGGCCAGGCCCAGAGCCCACAGGCAGAAGCAGGCCUGAGCAUGGAUGCCCGGGGGGCUGCCCAAAUGGGGAGCCAGGUUGCCUGUCCUCUGUUUUGGCAGGUACUACGUGGGGGACACCGUGGAUGUCCUGUUUGAGAAGUGGUUCUACUGCAAGGAUCUCGGCACCCAGUUGGCCCCCAUCAUCCAAGAGUGAGCCCUCAGCCCCUCGCUGUCCUGGGGCUGCACAUCAGCAUCUGCUGGCCUGGUGCCACCAUGCCUGGGAAUUAGGGAGAAAGUCUCCCCUCCUGCGGGAGGUUGGGGAUGGAGGGAGCCACUGGAGAGACUGCUCCACAGAGCUGGGAGGGAAAGUGUGUGAGGGCUCCACAAGUGUGUGUGGGCUCCUGCACCCAACAGUGUAUGGCGUGUGUGUCUCCCCGGCUACUCAAGCAGGAAUGCCCGCCAUUCCUUUCUCCUCCCUGUUGUCCCUGCAGGUUCUUCCGCUCCGAGCAGUGCAGAACAGGAAAACCCAUCCCUGACCAACUGCUCAAGGAACCACCAUUUCCUCUGAGUACACGAUCUAUCAUGGAGCCCGUGUCCCUGAAGGCUUGGCUGGAUGGCCACCGCAGGGAGCUGCAGGCAGGCAGAGCUGGCUUGGCCUAAGAACUGGGCCUGGGGAUUAGGGCAUUCAAUUGACAGAAGCCCCUAGCACAGAUGAGCUGGGCAGGGGAGUGGGGGGAGGUGGUGCAGGGACCCACCGAAGGCUGUGUAUGCAUGCAUGUCGCCUUCCCUGGAGAAGAGGUUCAGAGAUUUGCUGUGGUUCUCAAAGACAGCCAUGACCCCGAGAAGACAAGAAAUCCUCAUUUGGGGGACAUCUCUGUAUGCUAGACACUGAAGUUUCUAUGGACCUUGACCUUGAGCACUGCAGCUAGCCAGCCCUGGAUUCAGGCUCAGCCUCAGCUUCCUUUUUGGGAAAAACACACC